RNAcentral lists this ribosomal RNA (459 nucleotides) under uncultured Streptococcus sp. RNAcentral's name for it is "bacterial SSU rRNA". It matches the Rfam family "Bacterial small subunit ribosomal RNA", at positions 341 to 792 of the family's 1533-position model. The record is from RNAcentral. Lineage: Bacteria; Bacillati; Bacillota; Bacilli; Lactobacillales; Streptococcaceae.
ACGGGAGGCAGCAGUAGGGAAUCUUCGGCAAUGGGGGCAACCCUGACCGAGCAACGCCGCGUGAGUGAAGAAGGUUUUCGGAUCGUAAAGCUCUGUUGUAAGAGAAGAACGUGUGUGAGAGUGGAAAGUUCACACAGUGACGGUAACUUACCAGAAAGGGACGGCUAACUACGUGCCAGCAGCCGCGGUAAUACGUAGGUCCCGAGCGUUGUCCGGAUUUAUUGGGCGUAAAGCGAGCGCAGGCGGUUUAAUAAGUCUGAAGUUAAAGGCAGUGGCUUAACCAUUGUUCGCUUUGGAAACUGUUAGACUUGAGUGCAGAAGGGGAGAGUGGAAUUCCAUGUGUAGCGGUGAAAUGCGUAGAUAUAUGGAGGAACACCGGUGGCGAAAGCGGCUCUCUGGUCUGUAACUGACGCUGAGGCUCGAAAGCGUGGGGAGCAAACAGGAUUAGAUACCCUGGUA